CGUGUAGGCGGUUUGGUAAGUCUGAUGUGAAAGCCCUGGGCUCAACCCGGGAAGUGCAUUGGAAACUGUCAGACUUGAAUACGGGAGAGGGUAGUGGAAUUCCUGGUGUAGGAGUGAAAUCCGUAGAUAUCAGGAGGAACACCGGUGGCGAAGGCGGCUGCCUGGACCGAUAUUGACGCUGAGACGCGAAAGCGUGGGUAGCAAACAGGAUUAGAUACCCUGGUAGUCCACGCCGUAAACGAUGAGUACUAGGUGUUGCGGGUAUUGACCCCUGCAGUGCCGCAGCUAACGCAUUAAGUACUCCGCCUGGGAAGUACGGUCGCAAGACUAAA
Molecule: ribosomal RNA, 332 nt
Filed under: uncultured bacterium
Lineage: Bacteria
Description: bacterial SSU rRNA
Rfam family: Bacterial small subunit ribosomal RNA
Source: RNAcentral